UAAUACGUAGGGUGCGAGCGUUAAUCGGAAUUACUGGGCGUAAAGCGUGCGCAGGCGGUUUUGUAAGCCAGAUGUGAAAUCCCCGGGCUUAACCUGGGAAUGGCCAUGGAAACUGGCGAGCUGGAGUCUGGCAGAGGGGGGUGGAAUUCCGCGUGUAGCAGUGAAAUGCGUAGAGAUGCGGAGGAACACCGAUGGCGAAGGCAGCCCCCUGGGCUAAGACUGACGCUGAGGCACGAAAGCGUGGGGAGCAAACAGGAUUAGAUACCCUGGUAGUCCACGCCCUAAACGAUGUCAACUGGGUGUUCGGGAAGCGAUUCCUGGGUACCGUAGCUAACGCGUGAAGUUGACCGCCUGGGGAGUACGGCCGCAAGGUUA
This 375-nucleotide ribosomal RNA is filed under the name uncultured bacterium. RNAcentral's name for it is "bacterial SSU rRNA". It matches the Rfam family "Bacterial small subunit ribosomal RNA", at positions 521 to 896 of the family's 1533-position model. The record is from RNAcentral.